Colius striatus (speckled mousebird) is the source of this 1978-nucleotide RNA transcript. It is a transcript of the gene named speriolin-like, with no coding region annotated. The transcript has 5 exons. The record is from RefSeq and is a predicted model, not a curated record. Lineage: Eukaryota; Metazoa; Chordata; Aves; Coliiformes; Coliidae.
GGCGGCUGCUGGGCCCGGCCGAGGCGUUCGCUGGAGCCGGGACAGUAUCCUUCCGUGCGGCCAGGGCACCUCGGGCCGGGCCGUGCCAGGCGCGGCCGGGCGGCCGCCUCUCGGCGCGGGGGGUUCCGGGCGAGGGCCGAGGCCAGCGGUGGUGUGGCGGAGAGAGAGGCAGGAGAGCGGUCAGGUGAGAGCGCGGGCGGCCUCGCAGUAGGCCCGGGCCAGUGAGUGCCGCGGCUGCCAACAUCCACCUCUUCUCCUGCAGCCGGUCUCUAGAACUGGUAGCAGACACUUAUAGACCAGAGAUGGACCUACUGGACACGCUCCCAUGAGCCGAGCUACAGCUGGCGAGGCUGAUUGGAUGCUGGCGUGAGCUGCCCACAGGCAGGUGGAGGAGUUCCUAUCUCUGGAAGGAUUUCAAAGCUGUAGAGCUGAGAUGCUGAGGCACGUGGCUUGGCAUUGUGAGCUGGCCCCUGGGACUGGGAGCUGACACUUACAAACCAGAGCUGGACCUCCAGAGCCUGCUCUUUGGAGCCGAGCUACAGCUGGCAAGAUGAUCGAGGGCACCGUUCUGUCGAUGACCUGUGGUGCGUCGCCACAAUCUGACACUUCAAGUGCGUGACGGUGCAGUUGUGGGAGCUGGGCCAUGUGCCCGAAGUGUAUUCUCCUGUGGUCAAGUCCCUCAUCAACUCAUACGGCUGCCUGGACGAUUCGCUCCGGUUCUCAGCCAGCACAAGCGCGGCCUUCGUACACCGCAUCGUCAAGGAGGAGGUGCCUCUGGCGAUCCGACCACAUGCCAUGGGGCUGCUCGAGUGCCUGCUGCAGCUGGCACGGGAGGACGGCAGCCCCUCCUGGUGGUGAGCAGCUGUGCACCGACUCGAUUCUACGAGAGAAUAGUGAUAGUGAUUAAGAGAGAUAAGUCACCAAUUGUGAUACUCUUAUCUAAAGGACAGUGCAGUAAAGUCUAUUUACUUUCGUUUCUUUUGAAAUUCUUAUCACAUGUCUUAUAUUUUUAGCCAGGAUGCGACAAUUCACAUUCAUCUACUUUAUUGUUACAGACCCUCUUGAAGUCAUCCUAAGCUUACACGCUUUUGCUUUUCCAUUAAAUGAAUCUCAUUCGUGUCAGUUUUCUUUCUUUCCAGGCAAAAAUCAAUUUUACGUACAUCUUAUGUUGGGGCCUGGGCUAUAAUGAAUGUUAUGGAGUCAGUCAGAAACAGAGAAAGUCUGCAGUUUGUAUUUGAAUUGCCUUCUACAGCAAAAAAGAACAGAAAGGAAUGCCUAUGUGAUAGCAAGCUUGAGCCAGGGGAAAACCAAAACAGCAGAUUGUAACAGAAACAAGGUCAAAGCAAGAAGAUAGGACAGGACAUUAAAGUAAGCAUUGUUAGAAGACUGAAUAGAGCAUUCAAUUUAGCAUUAUAUGAUUGAUUGUACUUGACUAAUAAAUUGUAACAUAUGGAACUAACAAUAAUAUAACGUUAACUAAAUGUAAGGUAAGCAUAACCAUAGUGUGAGAGAAAACUAACUGAAGGCCGAACAGAUGGGGUGAUAUUUUAGACACAAUAAGGCUGAUGUUUUAAGCACAAUAAGGAUGGUGUUUUUACACAAUGAGGUUGGUGUUUAAGUUGUUACAAAAAGGAAACUUUGAGGCCUUAUGCGUAGCGCGUGAUGCUUAGUAUUAACUUUCUGCCAUGAAUUGUAGCACGUACACAGCAUUUGAAAAAGGUAUAUAAGUGAUGAUUAUGUGACAGUAAAUUGGAGCUGAUGCACAUCAUAUUGGUGUCUGGUCACUCCCGUUUCACGCAACAAAGAAGAAGAACCCCUGCACAAAGAAAAAAGAACCCUGCAAUCUUAACUUGAACUUCAGAUUCUAUCCUGAACACAGGAUAGAAACACAAAAAGGGGGUUAAAACCUUUCCUCCACCCUCACCCAUUGGGUAUAAAACAUUUCACACAGACACACUGGCUGUAGAAGCUGUAAAGA